CAGGGCUUGACAUCCCGGCGACCGGCCUAGAGAUAGGCCUUCCCUUCGGGGCGCCGGAGACAGGUGGUGCAUGGUUGUCGUCAGCUCGUGUCGUGAGAUGUUGGGUUAAGUCCCGCAACGAGCGCAACCCCUAUUGUUAGUUGCUACGCAAGAGCACUCUAGCGAGACUGCCGUUGACAAAACGGAGGAAGGUGGGGACGACGUCAAAUCAUCAUGCCCCUUAUGUCCUGGGCUACACACGUAAUACAAUGGCGGUCAACAGAGGGAGGCAAAGCCGUGAGGCGGAGCGAACCCCUAAAAGCCGUCCCAGUUCGGAUCGCAGGCUGCAACCCGCCUGCGUGAAGUCGGAAUCGCUAGUAAUCGCGGAUCAGCAUGCCGCGGUGAAUACGUUCCC
RNAcentral lists this ribosomal RNA (394 nucleotides) under uncultured bacterium. Its description in RNAcentral is "bacterial SSU rRNA". It matches the Rfam family "Bacterial small subunit ribosomal RNA", at positions 975 to 1375 of the family's 1533-position model. The record is from RNAcentral.